AAAUGUGGAUGUCAAAGAUGGACUUGUCAAUGGAUGCUUUGGAAACAUUGGAAACAUUGUGACCAAAACAAAAUACAGACUUGCAUUUGUGCACAUGCUUGGAAAUCAGUCGACAAUCCAAAUGCUGGCCAGAAAUACAUACGACAACAACUGCAAGGUGAAGAGGACACUUUACAUCAAAAGAUCAGAGGAAACUCUUAAGAAAGAAGCAGUCUGUCAACUAUUUCCAAUCAAGAUGGCUUACGCAUGCACCACUCACAAAGUUCAAGGCAUGACCAUGCAAUCGGCUGUCAAAAAUCACAACCACGUUGGAGAGGACAAAAAAUGGCAACGCUGGAAGGCAUCAUGCUACUUUUUGACUGGAAAAAAAACCAACAACAGUCUGAAAGAAAAGCUUAUCGUUGUGCAUCAUAAAGCAGAGGGACUCCCAUCACAUAUAGAGGACAUAAAACACCCAUCACCAAACAUCAUGGGCCUACUUAAUUAUUUGGAAAUGAUGGAGAAUCCCAUAAUUGUCUGUGGAGACUUCACCAAAGACCACCUCUUGUCUGGAAGAAAGCCCAUUCUGGAGUUGUUCCAAUCCCUACUAUACAAACAGCUCAUCUCCAUGGCCACCACAAAGAAAACGAACAUUGGCCUACGUCUUUGACAUGAAGUCAGUGUGCCACACAGAACCGGGAGACAAAAGACCUGGAUAGAGCCUGAUUAUCAGCCACUCGUCUUUUACUUGGUGGUGUGUGCACAGUUGCGUGAAGGCGGUGUGUCGUACCUGAGGUGGAUGCUGUGUGAUGAGAGUAGAGUAGGGUCAGCAGCAAGGGACAUCAGGAGGAUAUUGUGGCAUCUUCAAAGUUUACAAAGGGCAGUGACAGCAGCAACAGUUGUGGCGAUGCUGGUUCGAGCCUCAGCUGGGUCAGUUGGUGUUUCUGUGUGGAAGAUGCAAGAACAGGAUGGAUGAAAAAGCAAACUAACCCUGUCAUGGGUAAAA
Danio rerio (zebrafish) is the source of this 985-nucleotide non-coding RNA. The record is from RefSeq and is a predicted model, not a curated record. Lineage: Eukaryota; Metazoa; Chordata; Actinopteri; Cypriniformes; Danionidae.